Molecule: long non-coding RNA, 752 nt
Filed under: Homo sapiens (human)
Lineage: Eukaryota; Metazoa; Chordata; Mammalia; Primates; Hominidae
Description: HSALNT0336164
Source: RNAcentral
AGAAGCGAAGCUGCCAAAGUGGCAACUGACCUCAGCCCAGGACCCUCUCCCCAUUUCAGAUUGGAAAUAACGAGAGUACAGGGCUGUGUGUAUCUGAUUCUGCAAUGCGUCUGCCAUGCCUGGGGAGCUGUUGGGAGAGGGAGCACCAUGAAGUUCACCAGCAGCCAGAAGAAGAUUCCUGAGAGGCCAAGCCAAGUGCUACCUAGAGAGGCCAGCAUGUGGGCUCCACAUUUCUGCUGAAGACGCCUGUGCCCACAAUAAGGCCUGUGUUGGUGUCAGUCUGGAAGAUUAGAGAAGCGGGCAGUGCAGAGCGAAGAGGAGACAGCAGUGGCCAGAGGUGAAACACUGAGGUAGCAGCAGAAAUUCAAAGAAAGAUGACCAGGAAAGAACAUAAGACAUUAAUGGAGCUCAUGUGAGGUAUCUAGAGGACCCAAGUGGUGUUUUUAAAAGAAGCUUAUCAAUGCUGGCAGAUUCCUGCCUCGGUGUGUGUCCCACGACUAAAAAGGAAAUCCAAUUCUAUUUGAGAAAACUGACAAGACAUUCUUUUCCUUGGAGAAAAUGGACUGGGACAAAUUACACACAAAAAGCUGAAAUCUCCACCACCAGUGGUUGAAAAACAAUCGAGCCUCCAUUAGCAGUUCCUUUGCCCACAGAAUGCUCUCUGAGGAACUACGGGGUUUGGAAAAAGUGCAGGCCUCUAUUCUUCAUCCACGACACAUCAAAGUUGUAAUAAAAACCUGCUUUUCUUUGUG